Molecule: long non-coding RNA, 550 nt
Organism: Lolium rigidum
Lineage: Eukaryota; Viridiplantae; Streptophyta; Magnoliopsida; Poales; Poaceae
Exons: 3
Source: RefSeq, a predicted model, not a curated record
AUCAUCUUCUACCUUCGCCUGGAGUCUGUUUCGCGUACGAGUGGGUACCGGCCGCGAAAUAUCCCAAUUUUCUCGCUCGAUUCUGCUCGGAUUUGCUUGCCCCCUUGCCACGAAAAUCCCUCUAUAAAUACCUCAUAAUCUCCUCCGUUUUUCCUCUCCGAAAUCCCCAAUUUUUGCGCCGCCAGGCUGCGCAAAUUUCUCGCCGGAUUACGGCGAAUUUCUCGCCGGAGUACGCCCGCCACCAAGUUCCAAGAAGAACCACAAGAACACGCACACACGAGACCGUCGGAGCUUCGCCGGAGACGGAGGAAUUCAGCCAGGAACCGCCGCUGUUCGGAACUAGCAGAUCGCUGAAGAGUAUGUGACCGAAAUCAUCCCGUGAAGCCGCACCUCACCGUCACCUGCAGAGUCGGAGGCAACAGCACCGCGUCCGUCUCCUUCGUCGCCCUCCACCACUCCCCAGCAUAGUUCGUAGCAGUACGUAGCAGUGAGCCGAUUGCCCGGAUUGCAACGAGUGUGAUUGCGACGACUGUCUGAACACCGACCAAGG